Capsicum annuum is the source of this 107-nucleotide non-coding RNA. The record is from Rfam. NCBI's taxonomy places the organism in Eukaryota, Viridiplantae, Streptophyta, Magnoliopsida, Solanales, Solanaceae.
AUUUGAUGAUUUGGGUACCGCAUAAGCUUCUUCUUUAACCUUUCCCAAGCCUCGUAGAGAGCUUCAGUUGGAAGCUGUAUAAAAUUGCUUAUCUCAUCUCUCAAUUU